ACGUACAAACCUUAUCGAUAAAACAAUUGGAGGGCAAGUCUGCCCGUUAGCAGCCGCGGUAAUUCCAGCUCCAAUAGCGUAUAACAACGUUGUUGCAGUUAAAAAGCUCGUAGUUUAAAUGAAGGGAAUCUGUGUAAUGAAUACAUUCGUGUAUUAUGUUAUUCUACUACCCUCCUUCUAAAUUCGAUAGAUGAGUAUUAACUUACUUGUACAUGGUAAUAGACUUAUACUGUAUACAAA
This 240-nucleotide ribosomal RNA is filed under the name Blastocystis sp. RNAcentral's name for it is "partial small subunit ribosomal RNA". It matches the Rfam family "Eukaryotic small subunit ribosomal RNA", at positions 523 to 765 of the family's 1831-position model. The record is from RNAcentral. Lineage: Eukaryota; Bigyra; Opalinata; Blastocystidae.